GCUUAAGGGCCCUAUAACGACAGACUCGUCGCUAUAGGUGUUCUUGGCUUGUUCUUAAGCCUGCCUAGUAAUGCAUGUCAGUAGACAACUAGGUAGGUUUGACCAACAUUUGAUCCUAGUUCUCGUGAUAUUCUGUGCUGGAUAAAGUGUUUAGAUUGUAGUAUAAGUGCAAUACUACAACUACAUAUUAAGUUCUUGGCCAAAACAUUUCACCACUAAAAGAUCUAACCCACCAAAAAUCAUGUCAGAGCUGUUCUUCAUUUCUGGGUUUUCCAGAAAUGAAGAACAGUUGCUAGGCCUUACUUUGAAGCUUCAUUACUUGGACUCUGGGUCUGUUUUGUGAUAUCUAAUGGUCCCUACUUGUAGUCAUGAUGUCAUUGUACAAUUAUAUAGCUUCCGAUAAGCAUAACAGCAUCACCUAAACAAGAUAUGGGCCGGUCAAACGUAUGGUCAGAAGUUUUUCAUGAGAAAUCUGGGUUUCCCAGAUUUCUUCAUAAGGCAGACGGUCAAUUCUUGUUUGACCUUAAUUAUCUUCAAUUAUGUUGUUACUUUAGGCGAUAUAAUAGCAUACAAGUGUAGUUCAUAUAGCAGUCUAUAACAUUAAACCAACAACAUGACCUAAAACCUAAAACACAAGCAAGAUCACGGCCUGCAAAAACGCUGUCAGACGUUCUGGAAAUUCUGGGUUUGCCCAGAAACCAAAUUUCGUGACCGGUCAACGCAGUUUGACUGCCUAUAACAAGCGAUCUAGACAUGAUCCAACCCUGUUUCCAGUUCCAGAUCAAAGCCUACAUGGCAUAGAACAGAUCUAAAAGAUAAAACACACAAAACAUCAAACACAUAAAGAUCUAGAGGGGCUGACAUUUGACUGGUAGACAACAUUUCAAAGUUUUUCCAGAUUUUUCAAAACAUCAUUUUCGUGUAUCUUGAUGUUAUGGAUCUAAGAUAUAACAACCCAGAUCACUCAAUAACAUCUUAAUACAUCACAUUAAACAUCUAAACACAAAGUUUUACAAGAAUCAUAAGGAUUUCUAUAUUUAGGGUUUUAUACCUUCUUUGAGCUUUGAUCUAGACUCUGAUCAUCAUGAUCUGUGAUUG
RNAcentral lists this long non-coding RNA (1098 nucleotides) under Panax ginseng (ginseng). RNAcentral describes it as "long non-coding RNA (PGIN_LNC002911)". Lineage: Eukaryota; Viridiplantae; Streptophyta; Magnoliopsida; Apiales; Araliaceae. The record is from RNAcentral.